AUACGUAGGUGACAAGCGUUAUCCGGAUUUACUGGGCGUAAAGGGCGUGUAGGCGGUCUUGCAAGUCAGAAGUGAAAUUCCUGAGCUCAACUCGGGCGCUGCUUCUGAAACUGCAGGACUUGAGUGCUGGAGGGGAUAGCGGAAUUCCUAGUGGAGCGGUAAAAUGCGCAGAUAUUAGGAAGAACACCGGUGGCGAAGGCGGCUAUCUGGACAGUAACUGACGCCGAGGCGCGAAAGCGUGGGGAGCAAACAGGAUUAGAUCCCCUGGUAGUCCACGCCGUAAACGAUGAAUACUAGGUGUAGGGGGUAUCGACUCCCUCUGUGCCGCAGUUAACACAAUAAGUAUUCCGCCUGGGGAGUACGGCCGCAAGGUUGAAACUCAAAUGAAUUGACGGGG
RNAcentral lists this ribosomal RNA (397 nucleotides) under uncultured bacterium. Its description in RNAcentral is "partial 16S ribosomal RNA". It matches the Rfam family "Bacterial small subunit ribosomal RNA", at positions 523 to 918 of the family's 1533-position model. The record is from RNAcentral.